CCUACGGGUGGCAGCAGUGGGGGAUAUUGCACAAUGGGGGGAACCCUGAUGCAGCGACGCCGCGUGGGGGAAGAAGCGUUUCGGCGUGUAAAGCCCUUUUGGCAGGGAAGAAGAUGACGGUACCUGACCAAUAAGCACCGGCUAACUACGUGCCAGCAGCCGCGGUAAUACGGAGGGGGCAAGCGUUACUCGGAAUCACUGGGUGUAAAGGGGGCGUAGGCGGGAAUGCAAGUCAGGUGUGAAAGCCCGGGGCCCAACCCCCGGACUGCACUUGAAACUGCAUGGCUGGAGUAUGGGAGGGGUAGGCGGAAUGCUUGGUGUAGCGGUGAAAUGCGUAGAUAUUAGGAGGAACACCGAUGGCGAAGGCGGCCUGCUGGAAUAUGACUGACGCUGAUGCGCGAAAGCGUGGGGAGCAAACAGGAUUAGAUACCCGUGUAGUC
Molecule: ribosomal RNA, 440 nt
Filed under: uncultured bacterium
Lineage: Bacteria
Description: partial 16S ribosomal RNA
Rfam family: Bacterial small subunit ribosomal RNA
Source: RNAcentral